UCCUGGCGUCAGGCGAACGCUGGCGGCGCGCCUAAUACAUGCAAGUCAACGGGUUGCCUUCGGGCAGCCAGUGGCGACGGGUGAGUAACACUGGGUGACCUGCCCUGAAUGGGGAAUAACGCGGCGAAAGUCGCGCUAAUACCGCAUAGCUUUGGUACUUCGUUGGACCAAGAAAGCCUUGUGCGCUUCAGAGGGGCCUGCGGCCGAUUAGCUAGUCGAGGGGUAAUGGCCCACCGAGGCAUCGAUCGGUAGCUGGUCUGAGAGGAUGACCAGCCACACUGGGACUGAGACACGGCCCAGACUCCUACGGGAGGCAGCAGUAAGGAAUCUUCCGCAAUGGGCGCAAGCCUGACGGAGCGACGCCGCGUGCAUGACGAAGCCCUUCGGGGUGUAAAAUGCUUUUCUGGGGGACGACAUAAGACGGUACCCCAGGAAGAAGCCUCGGCUAACUACGUG
Molecule: ribosomal RNA, 456 nt
Filed under: uncultured bacterium
Lineage: Bacteria
Description: bacterial SSU rRNA
Rfam family: Bacterial small subunit ribosomal RNA
Source: RNAcentral